UAAAGAGUAAGGGUGCUCAGCGCCCGACCUCCAACCCUCUGUCGUUAAAACUACCUUGUUGCUUUGGCGGGACCGCCCGGUCUCCGAGCCGCCGGGGCCCUCACCGGCCCAGGCGAGCGCCCGCCAGAGUUAAACCAAACUCUUGUUAUUAAACCGGUCGUCUGAGUAAAAGUUUUUAACAAAUCAAAACUUUCAACAACGGAUCUCUUGGUUCUCGCAUCGAUGAAGAACGCAGCGAAAUGCGAUAAGUAAUGUGAAUUGCAGAAUUCAGUGAAUCAUCGAAUCUUUGAACGCACAUUGCGCCCCUUGGUAUUCCGAGGGGCAUGCCUGUUCGAGCGUCAUUACACCACUCAAGCACUGCUUGGUAUUGGGCGUCCGUCUCCCGCGAGGGGGGCGCGCCUCAAAGACCUCGGCGGAGCCUCACCGGCUUUGGGCGUAGUAGAAUUUAUUCGAACGUCUUUAAACGGAGAGGACUCCUCAGCCGACCGAAACCUUUUAUAUUUUUCUAGGUUGACCUCGGAUCAGGUAGGGAUACCCGCUGAACUUAAGCAUAUCAAUAAGCGGAGGAAAAGAAACCAACAGGGAUUGCCCUAGUAACGGCGAGUGAAGCGGCAACAGCUCAAAUUUGAAAGCUAGCCUUCGGGUUCGCAUUGUAAUUUGUAGAGGAUGCUUUGGGGCAGCCGCCUGUCUAAGUUCCUUGGAACAGGACGUCAUAGAGGGUGAGAAUCCCGUAUGUGACAGGACAUGGCACCCUAUGUAAAGCUCCUUCGACGAGUCGAGUUGUUUGGGAAUGCAGCUCUAAAUGGGAGGUAAAUUUCUUCUAAAGCUAAAUACCGGCGAGAGACCGAUAGCGCACAAGUAGAGUGAUCGAAAGAUGAAAAGCACUUUGGAAAGAGAGUUAAAAAGCACGUGAAAUUGUUGAAAGGGAAGGGCAAGCAAUCAGACUUGUUCAAGCCGUUCGGCCGGUCUUCUGACCGGUUUACUCGGCUUGGGCAGGCCAGCAUCAGUUUCGGCGGUCGGAUAAAGGCCUAGGGAAUGUGGCCCUCACUUCGGUGAGGGUGUUAUAGCCCUGGGUGUAAUACGGCCAGCUGGGACUG
This 1097-nucleotide ribosomal RNA is filed under the name fungal endophyte. RNAcentral describes it as "eukaryotic LSU rRNA". The stretch from base 512 to 1097 matches the Rfam family "Eukaryotic large subunit ribosomal RNA", at positions 1 to 595 of the family's 3401-position model. The record is from RNAcentral. Lineage: Eukaryota; Fungi.